RNAcentral lists this long non-coding RNA (538 nucleotides) under Coffea arabica (coffee). RNAcentral's name for it is "long non-coding RNA (CARA_LNC001020)". Lineage: Eukaryota; Viridiplantae; Streptophyta; Magnoliopsida; Gentianales; Rubiaceae. The record is from RNAcentral.
AGCUUCAAAAGCAUGCCGACCAGCAGCGGUGGAGGCCGUGUGGGUCCCGUGGCCGUCGGCAUCUCGGGGAGACUUGAACUCGAUAGUUUCAUUAAUCCCGCCCCCGAACCCUCCAAAACCAGGGGAAGCCUCGUGGCCUUUGGAGAAAAAUCUCGCUCCGACAAUUUUGCGGUUGCAGUUCUUGGUGGUGAACCUCACUCCGGCCUGGCAAACACCUUUCCAGCGAGCGGGGACCGGGCCCAAGUUCAGAUCGGAGAAGCUCCGGCGUUCGGGCCAAAUUCCGGUGUCAAACACUCCAAUAAUAACGUCGGAGCCAUAGUCGGAUUCGGACCAGAGACCCCUUUGGUUGCUAAGGCCCAGAAACUGAGGGGAGCGAGUGGUGUGGAGAUGUCGGCGGCGGUCCUCAAAAGCGGCGAGGAUAGAAGGGUGCUUGAGGACAGAGGCGGCUUGGGAGGGAGUUAAAGAGGCGGAGAAGCCGUGGAAAACUUUGUCGUAGACAUGGAGGAUGGUGGGAGAGGGGGUGAACUCGGAGGUGUAC